RNAcentral lists this ribosomal RNA (115 nucleotides) under Tichowtungia aerotolerans. The record is from RNAcentral. Lineage: Bacteria; Pseudomonadati; Kiritimatiellota; Tichowtungiia; Tichowtungiales; Tichowtungiaceae.
UCCGGUGGUUAUGGCGAGAGUGACCCACCCGUUCCCAUUCCGAACACGGAAGUUAAACCUCUCAGCGGCAAUGGUACUGAGGAGUUGACCUCGGGAGAGUAGCACGCUGCCGGAU